GACGAACGCUGGCGGCGUGCCUAAUACAUGCAAGUCGAACGCUGAAGGAGGAGCUUGCUUCUCUGGAUGAGUUGCGAACGGGUGAGUAACGCGUAGGUAACCUGCCUGGUAGCGGGGGAUAACUAUUGGAAACGAUAGCUAAUACCGCAUAAGAGUAGAUGUCGCAUGACAUUUGCUUAAAAGGUGCAAUUGCCUCACUACCAGAUGGCCCUGCGUUGUAUUAGCUAGUUGGUGAGGUAACGGCUCACCAAGGCAACGAUACAUAGCCGACCUGAGAGGGUGAUCGGCCACACUGGGACUGAGACACGGCCCAGACUCCUACGGGAGGCAGCAGUAGGGAAUCUUCGGCAAUGGACGGAAGUCUGACCGAGCAACGCCGCGUGAGUGAAGAAGGUUUUCGGAUCGUAAAGCUCUGUUGUAAGAGAAGAACGAGUGUGAGAGUGGAAAGUUCACACUGUGACGGUAUCUUACCAGAAAGGGACGGCUAACUACGUG
RNAcentral lists this ribosomal RNA (495 nucleotides) under uncultured bacterium. Its description in RNAcentral is "partial 16S ribosomal RNA". It matches the Rfam family "Bacterial small subunit ribosomal RNA", at positions 28 to 507 of the family's 1533-position model. The record is from RNAcentral.